Molecule: ribosomal RNA, 466 nt
Filed under: uncultured bacterium
Lineage: Bacteria
Description: partial 16S ribosomal RNA
Rfam family: Bacterial small subunit ribosomal RNA
Source: RNAcentral
GACGAACGCUGGCGGCGUGCUUAACACAUGCAAGUCGAACGGAAAGGCCCUGCUUUUGUGGGUGCUCGAGUGGCGAACGGGUGAGUAACACGUGAGUAACCUGCCCUUGACUUUGGGAUAACUUCAGGAAACUGGGGCUAAUACCGGAUAGGAGCUCCUGCUGCAUGGUGGGGGUUGGAAAGUUUCGGCGGUUGGGGAUGGACUCGCGGCUUAUCAGCUUGUUGGUGGGGUAGUGGCUUACCAAGGCUUUGACGGGUAGCCGGCCUGAGAGGGUGACCGGCCACAUUGGGACUGAGAUACGGCCCAGACUCCUACGGGAGGCAGCAGUGGGGAAUAUUGCACAAUGGGCGGAAGCCUGAUGCAGCAACGCCGCGUGCGGGAUGACGGCCUUCGGGUUGUAAACCGCUUUCGCCUGUGACGAAGCGUGAGUGACGGUAAUGGGGAAAGAAGCACCGGCUAACUACGU